GGAUGAACGCUGGCGGCGUGCCUAACACAUGCAAGUCGAGCGAUUUACUUUUAGUAAAGAGCGGCGGACGGGUGAGUAACGCGUGGGUAACCUGCCCUGUACACACGGAUAACAUACCGAAAGGUAUGCUAAUACGAGAUAACAUGAGAAAGUCGCAUGGCUUUCUUAUCAAAGCUUUUGCGGUACAGGAUGGACCCGCGUCUGAUUAGCUAGUUGGUAAGGUAACGGCUUACCAAGGCGACGAUCAGUAGCCGACCUGAGAGGGUGAUCGGCCACAUUGGAACUGAGACACGGUCCAAACUCCUACGGGAGGCAGCAGUGGGGAAUAUUGCACAAUGGGCGAAAGCCUGAUGCAGCAACGCCGCGUGAGCGAUGAAGGCCUUCGGGUCGUAAAGCUCUGUCCUCAAGGAAGAUAAUGACGGUACUUGAGGAGGAAGCCCCGGCUAACUACGCGCCAGCAGCCGCGGUAAUACGUAGGGGGCUAGCGUUAUCCGGAAUUACUGGGCGUAAAGGGUGCGUAGGCGGUCUUUCAAGUCAGGAGUGAAAGGCUACGGCUCAACCGUAGUAAGCUCUUGAAACUGUAAGACUUGAGUGCAGGAGAGGAGAGUAGAAUUCCUAGUGUAGCGGUGAAAUGCGUAGAUAUUAGGAGGAAUACCAGUUGCGAAGGCGGCUCUCUGGACUGUAACUGACGCUGAGGCACGAAAGCGUGGGGAGCAAACAGGAUUAGAUACCCUGGUAGUCCACGCCGUAAACGAUGAGUACUAGCUGUCGGAGGUUACCCCCUUCGGUGGCGCAGCUAACGCAUUAAGUACUCCGCCUGGGAAGUACGCUCGCAAGAGUGGAACUCAAAGGAAUUGACGGGGACCCGCACAAGUAGCGGAGCAUGUGGUUUAAUUCGAAGCAACGCGAAGAACCUUACCUAAGCUUGACAUCCUUUUGACCGAUGCCUAAUCGCACCUUUCCCUUCGGGGACAGAAGUGACAGGUGGUGCAUGGUUGUCGUCAGCUCGUGUCGUGAGAUGUUGGGUUAAGUCCCGCAACGAGCGCAACCCUUGCCUUUAGUUGCCAUCAUUAAGUUGGGCACUCUAGAGGGACUGCCAGGGAUAACCUGGAGGAAGGUGGGGAUGACGUCAAAUCAUCAUGCCCCUUAUGCUUAGGGCUACACACGUGCUACAAUGGGUGGUACAGAGGGCAGCCAAACCGUGAGGUGGAGCUAAUCCCUUAAAGCCAUUCUCAGUUCGGAUUGUAGGCUGAAACUCGCCUACAUGAAGCUGGAGUUACUAGUAAUCGCAGAUCAGAAUGCUGCGGUGAAUGCGUUCCCGGGUCUUGUACACACCGCCCGUCACACCACGGAAGUUGGGGGCGCCCGAAGCCGGAUAGCUAACCUUUUGGAAGCGUCCGUCGAAGGUG
RNAcentral lists this ribosomal RNA (1409 nucleotides) under uncultured organism. RNAcentral's name for it is "16S ribosomal RNA". It matches the Rfam family "Bacterial small subunit ribosomal RNA". The record is from RNAcentral.